AGCCUCAUAGCUCAGUUAGCUAGAGCAUUGGUGGUACUAAAGCCUUCCCCUUGCUGACGUGGGUUCGAUUCCCACCGAGACCA
RNAcentral lists this transfer RNA (83 nucleotides) under Schistocephalus solidus. It matches the Rfam family "tRNA". Rfam says of the family: Transfer RNA (tRNA) molecules are approximately 80 nucleotides in length. Lineage: Eukaryota; Metazoa; Platyhelminthes; Cestoda; Diphyllobothriidea; Diphyllobothriidae. The record is from Rfam by way of RNAcentral.